CUAAGAUGAAAGGUAAGGGUUUUAAAAAAAUAAAAAAAGAGAUAUUAUAGAAGGCAGCGAGGUGGCUUAGUGGAUAGAGGGCCGGGCCUGGAGAUGGGAGGUCCGGGACUCAAAUCUGGCCUCAGGCACAUCCUCGCUGUGUGACCCUGGGUAAGUCACUUAACCUCCAUUGCCCAGCCCUUCCAGCUCUUCUGUCUUGGAAUCAAUACGCAAUAUUGAUUCCUAGAUGGAAGGUGAGGGUAAUUAAAAAAGAGAGAGCGUGAUUGCAGAAGCCAAAUUGGCAGGCCUUGGCACCAGAUUGGAUCUGCGGGCUACGAGAAAGCGAGGUGUCCAGACGGAUGCUCAGGUUGGCAGCCUGCGGCGUUGCCCUCCACACUAACAUGGAUGGCUGUUAGAAGAGAGGGAAGCGUUAGAGGGAAAGCUAACGAGUCUGGACACGGCAUCCCUGCCUCCAGAGUAUUCUUCAUGCCCCGAGCCCCGUAUGUACCUGCUGUCUCCGUCAUCGAAUUUGCUCUAACAGGGAAGGGCUAUCUGAAGGCUGAGAUCCUGUGUUUUCAGCUGUCAUUUCGGCAAGAAGAUGUGGCUGCUGGGAAUGUCACCUCCUCACUCCUAGGAACAUCAGCAUCGCUCAGUUUCCAGGAAGAUUUAAGGUUUCCAAGCACUUCCAGCACAAGAGUCCCUCGAGGGGAGGAGGUUGUUUUGGUUCCCCCCAUUUUACAGGGGAGGAAAUGAGGCCUGGAAAAGUGAAGGAGUUUGCUGGGGUGGGGGUGCAUGGGUGGGACAGAGGGCUGCUAAAUGUGGGAGCUUGCGGGCCCUCAAAUGCAGACUUUCUGACUUCAGGGGCAGAGUUCUUUGUUCCAUCCUGGAGGCUUUUCAUAGGACAGGAGAGCCUGAAUGGCCCUCAAGAUCCAGCCUCUCAUUGGUCAAUUUUGGGGAAUGUCGCAGAGCCCAGGCCUGGGGACCCUCCUCCGGACAGAUAGUUUCUCUUGCCCCAAGUCUCAGGACUUCAAGCAUUUGUCAUCUUUACUUACGGUAGUGAUGGGGCAGGGCCAGAAAGACCAGAGCCUCCAGCAGAAGGGGAAUUCAUCGAGGGCAAGGACUAUCCUUUGGUCUUUGUAUCCCCAACACCUUGCCUUGUCCCCCCCCCCCCAUAGGGGCAUGCUAAAUAGGUACUGAUUGAUAGAUUGAAUGAAAGAAAGCCUUUCUGGCUUGGGGAUACAGCCAAGGACCCCAGCAGUCCCAAGCCUGCCUUCUUGGUGCCUUCCACCUCUCAGGCCUCCACUGGCCUUUAUCCCCAGGGAGGGAUGGAGGGCACCCCCUAGGCAAGUUCCAGAAGAAGGCAAGGGAUUUGAGGAUUGCUGGGAGUGGAGGUAGAAGGGGGACAGAAGCGGAAGGGACAGACCAUUCUCUCCCCUCGCUGUUGCACCCGAGGUCACACUGUCUCUCGUGGGGCCCUUCCACUUUCCCCUGUGACCCUCGUGGAAGCAGAGGUUAGGCUUCUGCUCUGUGGGUCCAGAGAGGACUUUGCUCUGAGUGCAGGCAGUCCAAGUUUUGCCUCUAACACAAAGAUUUCCCUUUCCAACCUCUCUGUAUUCCCCAAGACUGUGACAAUUAAAACACAAACAAAGCCAUGGAAUGGCCUGAUUCCUCUUGACCUGUGGUCACAAGAUGAGGGGACCCCAGAAUUUAGAGUGAGAAGCCUCUUGGUAGAGACUCGAGCCCAAAUUUUACA
Molecule: long non-coding RNA, 1732 nt
Filed under: Monodelphis domestica (gray short-tailed opossum)
Lineage: Eukaryota; Metazoa; Chordata; Mammalia; Didelphimorphia; Didelphidae
Description: lncRNA (ENSMODG00000038628.1)
Source: RNAcentral